This 245-nucleotide ribosomal RNA is filed under the name uncultured bacterium. RNAcentral's name for it is "partial 16S ribosomal RNA". It matches the Rfam family "Bacterial small subunit ribosomal RNA", at positions 524 to 768 of the family's 1533-position model. The record is from RNAcentral.
UACGUAGGGGGCAAGCGUUGUCCGGAAUUACUGGGCGUAAAGAGCUCGUAGGCGGCCUGUUAAGUCGGGUGUGAAAGCCCUCGGUUCAACCGAGGAACUGCAUUCGAUACUGGCAGGCUAGAGUCUAGCAGGGGGAAGUGGAAUUCCAGGUGUAGCGGUGAAAUGCGCAGAUAUCUGGAAGAACACCGGUGGCGAAGGCGGCUUCCUGGGCUAUGACUGACGCUGAGGAGCGAAAGCUAGGGUAG